Schistosoma mansoni is the source of this 45-nucleotide non-coding RNA. NCBI's taxonomy places the organism in Eukaryota, Metazoa, Platyhelminthes, Trematoda, Strigeidida, Schistosomatidae. The record is from Rfam.
AUCCGGCUGACGAGUCCCAAAUAGGACGAAACACGCGUCCUGGAU